This 1119-nucleotide ribosomal RNA is filed under the name uncultured organism. RNAcentral's name for it is "bacterial SSU rRNA". It matches the Rfam family "Bacterial small subunit ribosomal RNA", at positions 294 to 1408 of the family's 1533-position model. The record is from RNAcentral.
GAGAGGGUGGUCACUCACACUGGGACUGAGAUACGGCCCAGACUCCUACGGGGGGCAGCAGUCUAGAAGCUUCCACAAUGGACGAAAGUCUGAUGGAGCGACGCCGCGUGUGGGAUGACAGCCGUGAGGUUGUAAACCACUGUCAGCAGGGAAGAAUGCCUUGAUGGUGAAUCAGGGAGAGACGGUACCUGCAGAGGAAGCCCCGGCUAACUCCGUGCCAGCAGCCGCGGUAAUACGGAGGGGGCAAACGUUGUUCGGAUUUACUGGGCGUAAAGGGUGUCUAGGCGGUUCGAUAAGUCUGGUGUGGAAUAUCCUCGCUCAACGAGGAAGACGCAUUGGAAACUGUCGAGCUCGAGAAGUGGAAAGAGGCAGGUGGAAUUCCUGGUGUAGCGGUGGAAUGCGUAGAUAUCCAGGAAGAACACUCGUGGCGAAGGCGGUCUGCUGGUCCAUUUCUGACGCUGAAGCACGAAAGCCAGGGGAGCGAACGGGAUUAGAUACCCCGGUAGUCCUGGCCGUAAACGUUGAACACUGGAUGUCGGGGGUAUCGACCCCCUCGGUGUCGGAGCUAACGCGUUAAGUGUUCCGCCUGGGGAGUACGACCGCAAGGUUGAAACUCAAAGGAAUUGACGGGGGCCCGCACAAGCGGUGGAGGAUGUGGUUUAAUUCGACGCAACGCGAAGAACCUUACCUGGGCUUAAACCGCAGGGUAAACCCUCUGAAAGGAGGGCUGCUUCGGCAAUCCUGUAGAGGUGCUGCAUGGCUGUCGUCAGCUCGUGUCGUGAGAUGUUGGGUUAAGUCCCGCAACGAGCGCAACCCUUGCUCUUAGUUACCAGCGCGUAAUGGCGGGGACUCUAAGAGGACUGCCCUCGCAAGGGGGAGGAAGGUGGGGAUGACGUCAAGUCCUCAUGGCCCUUAUGUCCAGGGCUACACACGUCCUACAAUGGCCGGUACAAAGGGCUGCAAGCUCGCGAGAGUUAGCUAAUCCCAAAAAGCCGGUCCCAGUUCGGAUUGCAGUCUGCAACUUGACUGCAUGAAGGUGGAAUCGCUAGUAAUCGUGGAUCAGCAUGCCACGGUGAAUACGUUCCCGGGCCUUGUACACACCGCCCGUCACAUCACGAA